Molecule: ribosomal RNA, 377 nt
Filed under: uncultured bacterium
Lineage: Bacteria
Description: bacterial SSU rRNA
Rfam family: Bacterial small subunit ribosomal RNA
Source: RNAcentral
UACUUUCAGUCGUGAGGAAGGCGGCGUCGUUAAUAGCGGCGUUGUUUGACGUUAGCGACAGAAGAAAGCACCGGCUAACUCCGUGCCAGCAGCCGCGGUAAUACGGAGGGUGCGAGCGUUAAUCGGAAUUACUGGGCGUAAAGCGCAUGCAGGUGGUUUGUUAAGUCAGAUGUGAAAGACCCGGGGCGUCAACCUCGGAAUUGCAUUUGUAAACUAGGCAGACUAGAGUACUGUAGAGGGGGGUAGGAAUUUCAGGUGUAGCGGUGAAAUGCGUAGAGAUCUGAAGGAAUACCGGUGGCGAAGGCGGCCCCCUCGGACAGAUACUGACACUCAGAUGCGAAAGCGUGGGGAGCAAACAGGAUUAGAUACCCUGGUAG